ACCGAGAUGAGAGUUUAGGUCAAAGGCAGAAUUAAAUUUAAAAUGAAACAUAUCCCAAAUAAUACAAGAUUACAACAUCAUAAAGAUAUAUAAAUUAAAUUAUAAAAGGUUAGUUAUGAUUUUCGACUUGAUAAGAUUGUAAUUAAUUAUAACCAAUUAGUACAUGUCUGGUUGAUUAAUCUAGGAAAAUAUCGAUGUUCAGAAUAUCAAUUAUAAUGCAAGUAAUUUAUAUUUGAUAGAGUGAAAGUAUAUAAUUUUAUAUGCAAUUAAGUGAAAGUAUAUAACUACUUGGGAAGAAAAAAAAACCAAACAAGUAGAUGAGUGCUUGGCGUAAGAUGUGAUGAGUGAUAUAUCAUUGAAGGGGCUGUCUGUAAAAAGCUGGUAGCUCCAUUGAUGAUCGUAUUUUCUCGGGGCACUGACAGAACCUCGGCUUGUCGUUGAAAGUGUAGUUUCUCUCCUUAUCCCGAUCUGCAUGCUUGGCGUUUCCUCUCAUCUCCUCCCCUCUCAAUCCCCAUAUAAUAAAAUUACUCUCUCCGACGCUACCUUUCACACUAUUAUUGUGAAAGCAACUACUGGUUUAACCACUUGCAUGAAAUGAAAUGACAAAUCAUUGGAGGAGACAUUACUUAAUUGAAUCGCUAAAUCCAACAUGAUAACCAAAUACCAUGCAUAGGUAAGGUAGGUAGGUAGG
This 691-nucleotide long non-coding RNA is filed under the name Gossypium barbadense (sea-island cotton). RNAcentral's name for it is "long non-coding RNA (GBAR_LNC011751)". Lineage: Eukaryota; Viridiplantae; Streptophyta; Magnoliopsida; Malvales; Malvaceae. The record is from RNAcentral.